GACGAACGCUGGCGGCGUGCUUAACACAUGCAAGUCGAACGGAAAGGCCCUGCUUUUGUGGGGUGCUCGAGUGGCGAACGGGUGAGUAACACGUGAGUAACCUUCCCUUGACUGUGGGAUAACUUCAGGAAACUGGGGCUACUACCGGCUAGGAGCUCCUGCUGCAUGGUGGGGGUUGGAAAGUUUCGGCGGUUGGGGAUGGACUCGGGGCUUAUCAGCUUGUUGGUGGGGUAGUGGCUUACCAAGGCUUUGACGGGUAGCCGGCCUGGGAGGGUGACCGGCCACAUUGGGACUGAGAGACGGACCAGACUCCUACGGGAGGCAGCGGGGGGGAAUAUUGCACAAUGGGCGGAAGCCUGAUGCAGAAACGCCGCGUGCGGGAUGACGGCCUUCGGGUUGUAAACCGCUUUCGCCUGUGACGAAGCGUGAGUGACGGUAAUGGGUAAAGAAGCACCGGCUAACUACGUG
Molecule: ribosomal RNA, 468 nt
Filed under: uncultured bacterium
Lineage: Bacteria
Description: partial 16S ribosomal RNA
Rfam family: Bacterial small subunit ribosomal RNA
Source: RNAcentral